RNAcentral lists this ribosomal RNA (464 nucleotides) under uncultured bacterium. RNAcentral's name for it is "partial 16S ribosomal RNA". It matches the Rfam family "Bacterial small subunit ribosomal RNA", at positions 28 to 507 of the family's 1533-position model. The record is from RNAcentral.
GACGAACGCUGGCGGCGUGCUUAACACAUGCAAGUCGAACGGAAAGGCCCUGCUUGCAGGGUACUCGAGUGGCGAACGGGUGAGUAACACUUGGGUGAUCUGCCCUGCACUUCGGGAUAAGCCUGGGAAACUGGGUCUAAUACCGGAUAGGAGCCAUUUUUAGUGUGAUGGUUGGAAAGUUUUUUCGGUGUAGGAUGAGCUCGCGGCCUAUCAGCUUGUUGGUGGGGUAAUGGUCUACCAAGGCGGCGACGGGUAGCCGGCCUGAGAGGGUGGACGGCCACAUUGGGACUGAGAUACGGCCCAGACUCCUACGGGAGGCAGCAGUGGGGAAUAUUGCACAAUGGGCGCAAGCCUGAUGCAGCGACGCCGCGUGGGGGAUGACGGCCUUCGGGUUGUAAACUCCUUUCGCUAGGGACGAAGCUUUUGUGACGGUACCUAGAUAAGAAGCACCGGCUAACUACGUG